RNAcentral lists this ribosomal RNA (253 nucleotides) under uncultured bacterium. RNAcentral's name for it is "partial 16S ribosomal RNA". It matches the Rfam family "Bacterial small subunit ribosomal RNA", at positions 524 to 776 of the family's 1533-position model. The record is from RNAcentral.
UACGGAGGGUGCAAGCGUUGUUCGGAAUCACUGGGCGUAAAGCGCGUGCAGGCGGCUCGUUAAGUCUGGUGUGAAAGCCCGGGGCUCACCCCCGGAAGUGCACUGGAUACUGGCGAGCUCGAGUCCCGGAGAGGAGGGUGGAAUUCCUGGUGUAGCGGUGAAAUGCGUAGAUAUCAGGAGGAACACCGGCGGCGAAGGCGGCCCUCUGGACGGUGACUGACGCUGAGACGCGAAAGCGUGGGGAGCAAACAGG